Long non-coding RNA from Hylaeus anthracinus, 1586 nucleotides. RefSeq lists it as uncharacterized. The transcript has 3 exons. The record is from RefSeq and is a predicted model, not a curated record. NCBI's taxonomy places the organism in Eukaryota, Metazoa, Arthropoda, Insecta, Hymenoptera, Colletidae.
AGAGCGGCCAUUGCAACUUGAGGCGUCAGAAUGUGCGGAGUGAGUGUAGUGUGGAGCGGUGGAGUUGAUAAUCGAUUUAGAGCCAGAUUCGCAAAAGUUAGUGUUGGAUCGAUGAUUGAAUUAAAAUUGAAAUUUUCGAACGACAUCAGUUAUGGAUGACAAUACCACCAAGAGUUGAUGCUUUUCUAAUAUACUACAAUUAAAAUUGAUGCUUGGGAGUUGGAAAACCAAACGCAGAUAAUCAGUGCAAGAAUUACUAUAUCUUCUUUUUUAAAGACUGAUUUUUACAAAUUCAAAGAAGCCUGAUUUGGCUUGGCUUAUGAACCUUAGUAUACAUUAGUGUUUUUAAUAUUUUUUAAAUUUCAUCACAUGAUUUAGAUACAAAUUGACGUUCGAUUUGCUUUAUAAUUUGAUUCUAUUCUUGUCUUGUUGUACAUUAUUCAUCUUUCUGAAUAUUUACUGUUUCCUUAUUUUACUGUUUUACCAGAACUUAGUAUAAAUUAGUGUCUUUAAUAUUUUUUUUUAAUUUGAACAUCAAAUUCACGUACAAAUUGACAUUCUAUUUGCUCUAAAAUUUGUUUCUAGUUUUCUCUUAGUGUUGCAUAUUUUUGUACAUACCGAUCGAAGCCAAAAAUCGAAAAUGGAUUUAUUUCAAAUAAUAAUGCUCAUAUUAAUUAUCUGCAUUAUUAAUUUGCUCUUAGCAUAUUCUAGACUUAAUAGUUUUCUUUUGUAUUUGGAUCAAUAUACUACCAAUGAAACUGCUGUAGAAAGCUCCUCUUACCAUAUUUACAAUUACACCAAAUUUAUGAAUUAUUCCAAGUUUUUUUAAAGUUAUAUAAACAUUGAAUAUUAAAGCUGAACAAAUCACUUCUGAAUACUGCGGAAAUGAAUAUAUCCGUUAUGUCACUGUAAUCAAUUCCAAAGUGCAGCGAUCAACACCCGAAUCGAUUGCAACUGUUCAGGAAAAUUCACUAUAAAUAUCUUGGAACAUGUUAUACGUGGAUGUGUAAACCGACGGGAUCCAUAAGUGGCUGAUUAACAUGUAUUCGAGAAUUGCCCACAGGAUUAUCAGGGAUAUGGAGGCAAAUGGGCGGCACGAAUCGACGCAUGCACUUUGCUUCGUGCACUCGACUUUGAACUCGUAAAAUAUCUUUGCACCGAAACUUUAAGAUUAAAUGAAAGGAAACAAUUUAAUAGCGUUUCAAUUACAAGUGAGUCAUCCACGGAUAAAUGUUUCAGCGUUUCAUAAUUGCGCUCUUGCCCUGACUCCAUUUUCCUCUGUCCUCUUCAAACUAAUAUAUCUAUUCUUCGAUACCUGUUUUCUUUAUUUAUGAGGUGUUUUCCAAAAGGGGAUCUAGGAUUUUGUUUUCCAAUAUCAAAAUACGUUUGUCAGCGUAGGUGUUGAAGAUACUUAAACAUCAUCUUCAAUGUUUAAUUGUGCUCAUGUGUGCUUUCUUUUAAAAUAAACAAAACUGGAAUAUAUUUCAUAACACCUGUUGGCGCCAGGACUUAAAACUAAUGUGUAAUCUAUGUUAUUAUUUUAAUGCAACAUGGAUUUUCAAUUAAAAAGUCUGAAAAAAUUCUGA